UUUAAGUUGCAUUGGGUGGAUUUCAUAAGGUAAAUGAACAUUGUUCAUAGUUUGCAGACCCAAUUGUUGUGGUUGAUUCUGUUGUGGUACACUCAGUUUAGUAAUGGGAUAUUUCCAUUUUUCUGGAUUAUCAAUAAUAGCAUCAUCUGCAAGGGCCCAAGCACGUGGUGCCUGUUUUGUUUGGAAAGCUGAAGACUGGGCAUUAAAUUCUGCUUCCGUAGGUCGUUGAAAUACGUAACCCACCAUGGCAUCAUCUUGAGUUCUGUUCACACCAAUUUGAUGUGUUUGACCAGGUUGUAUACGCAUACUAUCACCACCAGCCAUUACUUGCCCACAUUGUUCUGUAUCCU
This 350-nucleotide unclassified non-coding RNA is filed under the name Bombus terrestris (buff-tailed bumblebee). Its description in RNAcentral is "misc RNA ENSBTSG00005038758.1". The record is from RNAcentral. Lineage: Eukaryota; Metazoa; Arthropoda; Insecta; Hymenoptera; Apidae.